Molecule: long non-coding RNA, 395 nt
Filed under: Salvia miltiorrhiza (redroot sage)
Lineage: Eukaryota; Viridiplantae; Streptophyta; Magnoliopsida; Lamiales; Lamiaceae
Description: long non-coding RNA (SMIL_LNC004092)
Source: RNAcentral
UGAAAUGAGUUUGACGGGAAAGAAGUAAAAUAAAAGAAUUAGAUUUUGAUUUUGUUUUAAUUUUAGUCAGCAAUUAAUUACGUGGCAAAAUAAUCCACAUAAGCUCCAACUCAUCACUCCGGCGGCCGGAAAAAAUUGGGGGGACAAAAUUGCAAAAAUUGAAAAGGUUAUGAUUUAAUUCACCACACUUCAAAAGUCACGUUAAAAUUGCAAAUUCGAAAUUGUUCGUGAUUUUAUUUGCAAAAACCCCUAAUAUUUACUUUGUAAUGUUUGGAUUUUAUUGGAUAAAUAGUCAAAAUUAUUUUUAUAAAUUCAAAUGAGUUCGAGGAGUCGUCGGGUAUUACUUUGUGGAUUUGAGAUGAGAAAGAGUAAUUAGUUAUUAAUGCUUACUUUGU